Molecule: RNA transcript, 1952 nt
Organism: Rosa chinensis
Lineage: Eukaryota; Viridiplantae; Streptophyta; Magnoliopsida; Rosales; Rosaceae
Gene name: gamma aminobutyrate transaminase 3, chloroplastic-like
Exons: 10
Source: RefSeq, a predicted model, not a curated record
AAACCUUAGAGCGAGCAUAAGGAAAUCUUAGUUCACUUUCUAAGAGUCUUGGGCUUCAUGGGAACAAUGACUACCCCAUUCCUCGAGUAGCAUCUAAUUCUGAUGGGGUUCAUAUACAUCAUAUCUUGUUCUUCUCUGAUAGUCUCAAGUGCAUUACAUUUUCAGAAUUUGAGAUCACCUUAUACUAGCAAUAGAGCUCUUUAAACCAUCUUAUACAAAUGAUGACCAAAAACAUACGUGAGUUGUUCUUAUUCUGGUUCGUGUUCAUUCUUUUAAAACCUUAUUUGUAUAGAACAAGAGCAGAAAAUAUAUAUCCUAUUGUUUUGCAGAGUGGUAGAAACAUUAAAAGAUCCUUGUAAUGGUUGGAUUGCUUUAUUGGUGAUGUAAAAAUAUAUUCCGUAUAAGAAAUUAACACAAAUAUAUCAAAAUUAUCACAGUUGUAUCAUCACCAGAGGUAGGCAGUUAAUGAGCACAUUCAAAGUUUAAUGGAAUGGACUUCUAUCAUUGAUGAUUUGUUUGCAAAGCAAGUGCCAGAGUCAGUGUCAUAGGAAUGUACUCCUAGUUUAUGGAAUAUAGAAGAUUAUGUGCUCCAGACAUUAGUAUCACUUCCUAGGCGUACAUGAUGCUCCCUCUUUGCAAUGGUUAGACCUUAGGACCUGGAACCUUUAGUGGCCGGGGUAAAUUAAAUUCUACGGAGAGGAUUCCAUGCACCGUCGGGUCAGUUGCACCAGCAGUGUGCAAGUCACGUGCAUUAACAGACGUUGCCAUCCGUUGGUUAGUGAAGAAAACGGAAACGAAGAACAAAAAAACCAAAGUACAGUAAAAAGAAAAUUUACCCCGACCAGUUGGCAUGCACGUGGUUGUUGAGAUCGGCCUUUGUUAUGCCCGACCUUUCAAUUUUUGUUUGCGGGGAAAUUGCAGCUGGCAGAGACUGUUCACUGAUCUUGAUGCAGAACACAAGGGAAAGAUCAACAAGAGAGAAGACAGAGAGCGGUUCUAGUCUCCGAAGGGUCCCUCCAAACAAGAAGAAUUAGAAGAACACCGAUUGUUGAUAGUUCCUGAGGCGAAGACCAAUUCUUUUCUGCGAAACCCUGGUUCCCAAAUCAAUACCGAAUCCGGAGUUCUUCUUAGCAUUCAGCCCACGGAGCUCAAAUUCCCCUGUACCAUGGUUCAACUUUGAUAGCAGCAAGCCUUUCUGGCCUCCCAGCUCUGCAUCAAAAAUUUGAUCUUCCUGCUCCAUUUGUAUUGCACACUGAUUGUCCCCAUUAUUGGCGCUAUCACCAGCCAGGUGAGUCGGAGGAGGAAUUCUCAACCAGAUUAGCCAAUGAUUUGGAGAAUCUUAUCCUCAAAGAAGGACCAGAGACUAUUGCUGCGUUCAUUGCCGAACCUGUCAUAGGUGCAGGAGGUGUGAUACCUCCCCCUGCAACUUAUUUUGACAAGAUUGACUCAAAAUCAGCACGGAGAAAAAUGUUUUGCUUGGACCAGACAUCAAUGCAUUGGCAAUGGAUAAAGUUUAAACGUUGUAUUCAUGCUACCUGAAGGACAACUUAAAAAGAUUGGAGAAAGAGGAAAGAUGCCGAGGACUUGUGCAGGGAAAGGAGAAGACUGCUGGAGAUUAAAAGGUGGCAGUUUGCAUAUAUAUCUUGAUUGCUGGAAGACCCCACUCCCGUCCUGAAUUUGUUUUUGCAGAAGUCUUAGUUUAAUCACUAUUUGUUAAAACCUUAUUCCUUUCAAAAAUAGAUACAAUGUCAGUUGUAUAGUAUAAUAAAGUGAACUCAUGCUAUGGGUUUAAGAUAUGUAACAGGCCAAUCAAGAUCCAAUGUGUUUUAAGUGUAGAAGUUGCAAUUCAAAAUACUCAGUAUUUUGUCUUUCAAGGAGAGUUGCAGAAAAUGGGAUUCUGAUGUUGUAUUGUGUGAAAUUGAAGUUCUAGUCAUUGAUAGAGUUCUUGUAAA